GAACCCAACCUCGCCCCAUGCCUCCAGAAUAGCUUCGUUAGGAACGGGUGGUAAUGCUGGAUGCUCCAACUUGACGCAUGUCUUGUUGGGAAAGUGUUUAGUGGCAUGGGAUGGGGUCGCGUCCUAUCAGCUUGUAGGCGGGGUAAUGGCCCACCUAGGCUUCGACGGGUAGCCGGCCUGAGAGGGCGGACGGCCACAUUGGGACUGAGAUACGGCCCAAACUCCUACGGGAGGCAGCAGAC
Molecule: ribosomal RNA, 242 nt
Filed under: uncultured Gardnerella sp.
Lineage: Bacteria; Bacillati; Actinomycetota; Actinomycetes; Bifidobacteriales; Bifidobacteriaceae
Description: partial 16S ribosomal RNA
Rfam family: Bacterial small subunit ribosomal RNA
Source: RNAcentral